RNAcentral lists this ribosomal RNA (35 nucleotides) under Oryza sativa (Asian cultivated rice). Its description in RNAcentral is "partial 25S ribosomal RNA". Lineage: Eukaryota; Viridiplantae; Streptophyta; Magnoliopsida; Poales; Poaceae. The record is from RNAcentral.
UCCACUGAGAUCCAGCCCCGCGUCGACGGAUUCGU